UACGGGAGGCAGCAGUGGGGAAUAUUGCACAAUGGGCGCAAGCCUGAUGCAGCCAUGCCGCGUGUAUGAAAAAGGCCUUCGGGUUGUAAAGUACUUUCAGUCGUGAGGAAGGUGUUAAGGUUAAUAACCUUAGCAAUUGACGUUAGCGACAGAAGAAGCACCGGCUAACUCCGUGCCAGCAGCCGCGGUAAUACGGAGGGUGCGAGCGUUAAUCGGAAUUACUGGGCGUAAAGGGCACGCAGGCGGUUAAUUAAGUUGGAUGUGAAAUCCCCGGGCUUAACCUGGGAAUGGCAUUCAAGACUGGUUAGCUAGAGUCUUGUAGAGGGGGUUAGAAUUCCAUGUGUAGCGGUGAAAUGCGUAGAGAUGUGGAGGAAUACCGGUGGCGAAGGCGGCCCCUGGGACAAAGGACUGACGCUCAUGUGCGAAAGCGUGGGGAGCAAAC
RNAcentral lists this ribosomal RNA (442 nucleotides) under uncultured bacterium. RNAcentral's name for it is "bacterial SSU rRNA". It matches the Rfam family "Bacterial small subunit ribosomal RNA", at positions 340 to 773 of the family's 1533-position model. The record is from RNAcentral.